UGGUAGGAUAGAGGCCUACCAUGGUGGUAACGGGUAACGGGGUGUUAGGGCACGACACCGGAGAGGGAGCCUGAGAAACGGCUACCACAUCCAAGGAUGGCAGCAGGCGCGCAAAUUACCCAAUCCCGACACGGGGAGGUAGUGACAAUAAAUAACAAUACGGGGUUCUUUCGGAUCUCGUAAUUGGAAUGAGUACAAUUUAAAUCUCUUAACGAGGAACAAUUGGAGGGCAAGUCUGGUGCCAGCAGCCGCGGUAAUUCCAGCUCCAAUAGCGUAUAUUAAAGUUGUUGCAGUUAAAAAGCUCGUAGUUGAAUUUCGGGGUUAGUAGGUUGGUCAUGCCUCUGGUAUGUACUGGUCUCACUGAUUCCUCCUUCCUGAUGAACCGUAAUGCCAUUAAUUUGGUGUUGCGGGGAAUUUGGACUGUUACUUUGAAAAAAUUAGAGUGUUUAAAGCAAGCUAACGCUUGAAUACAUUAGCAUGGAAUAAUGAAAUAGGACGUUCGAUCCUAUUUUGUUGGUUUCUAGGAUUGACGUAAUGAUUAAUAGGGAUAGUUGGGGGCAUUAGUAUUCAAUUGUCAGAGGUGAAAUUCUUGGAUUUAUUGAAGACUAACUACUGCGAAAGCAUUUGCCAAGGAUGUUUUCAUUAAUCAAGAACGAAAGUUAGGGGAUCGAAGACGAUCAGAUACCGUCGUAGUCUUAACCAUAAACUAUGCCGACUAGGGAUCGGAUGAUGUAAUUUU
This 739-nucleotide ribosomal RNA is filed under the name uncultured fungus. Its description in RNAcentral is "SSU rRNA". It matches the Rfam family "Eukaryotic small subunit ribosomal RNA", at positions 326 to 1069 of the family's 1831-position model. The record is from RNAcentral. Lineage: Eukaryota; Fungi.